AUGGCGAAUGUCCCUAAAACCCACUGGACUUUCUGUAAGAAGUGUGGCAAGCACCAACCCCACAAAGUGACACAGUACAAGAAGGGCAAGGAUUCUCUGUAUGCCCAGGGAAAGCAGCAUUAUGACAGGAAGCAGAAUGGCUAUGAUGGGCAAACUAAGCCGAUUUUCCAGAAAAAGGCUAAAACUACAAAGAAGAUUGUGCUAAGUCUUGAGUGCAUUGAGCCCAAAUGCAGAUCUUAGAGAAUGCUGGCUAUUAAAAGAUGCAAGCAUUUUGAACUGGGAGUAGAUAAGAGAAAGGGCCAAGUGAUCCAGUUCUAA
RNAcentral lists this long non-coding RNA (318 nucleotides) under Homo sapiens (human). RNAcentral describes it as "non-protein coding lnc-ZNF431-4:1". Lineage: Eukaryota; Metazoa; Chordata; Mammalia; Primates; Hominidae. The record is from RNAcentral.